UACGUAGGGUGCGAGCGUUAAUCGGAAUUACUGGGCGUAAAGCGUGCGCAGGCGGUUUUGUAAGUCAGACGUGAAAUCCCCCGGCUUAACCUGGGAACUGCGUCUGAUACUGGACGGCUUGAGUAUGGGAGAGGGAUGUAGAAUUCCAGGUGUAGCGGUGAAAUGCGUAGAUAUCGGGAGGAACACCUGAGGCGAAGGCGGGCUACUGGGCCGAUACUGACGCUGAGGCGCGAAAGCCAGGGGAGCGAACGGG
RNAcentral lists this ribosomal RNA (253 nucleotides) under uncultured prokaryote. RNAcentral's name for it is "partial 16S ribosomal RNA". It matches the Rfam family "Bacterial small subunit ribosomal RNA", at positions 524 to 776 of the family's 1533-position model. The record is from RNAcentral.